This 185-nucleotide non-coding RNA is filed under the name Rhodocyclaceae bacterium. Its description in RNAcentral is "6S RNA". It matches the Rfam family "6S / SsrS RNA". From Rfam's summary of the family: E. coli 6S RNA was the first non coding RNA to be sequenced, but its function was unknown until recently. It consists of 184 nucleotides that fold into an extended hairpin structure with a large single-stranded internal bulge. The record is from RNAcentral. Lineage: Bacteria; Pseudomonadati; Pseudomonadota; Betaproteobacteria; Rhodocyclales; Rhodocyclaceae.
AAUCCCCUGCAGUGUUCGUGCUGGCCGUAGAUUCCUUGAACCAAUGUCUUCGUGACUUGGUUGCCGACCGAUGAUUUUGCUGGUGUGCGGUCCCCUCCGUCGGGAACGCCUGAUGCAACAGGAAGGCGACCUCCCUGAACCCUCGGUUCAGGAUGCCCGGCCAGGGCGGCACGCGCGGGGGGCCA